GAAAGGAACUGUGAAUGCGGAGAGACUCUAAGCAGUUCAAAUCUAUAAGAGGACUUUCCCUUUGCCAAGAAUUGGUGAGCUGCCUAGGGGAUUGGAGUUAGGAGAAUUUAGGCUGGCCUGGAUUCUUCUGGGGUUUGUGCUAGUACCCCAUUUUCCUUGGAUAUUGGAAAAUUCUAAGCAGUUUAAGUCUGGAAGGGUUCUCCAUUUUCCUUUGGCAAAACCUCUGCUUGAUGACGUGGUGGCCAGAGAGCUCUAAAGACCUCUGAUUGAGGAGAGCGGGUGCUUACUAAUUCCUAGAAGAAGCAGAGAAGGACCUUACCAGACCUUACAGAUGAUUGAGACUGCAAUUUGGAGGCUGAGAACAAAAAAAUACAACCUCAAGAAUGGGCUGUUAAGGACAAUUUGUAACCUCUAAAACUGACUUUGUAUUUAGGAAUGUUUUGUGGGAGGGGAGAUCAAUUGUGCUUAGAGGAAUUUUAACCAUACUGGUGUUGUAUCUGUUAUUUGUAUUUCUAGAAAAGUUUAUAGAGACUUCCAUAUUGGAGAACAUUGAAUUAAUAUGUUUUUUUUUAGAAUAAAGAAACUAUUGAUGUUAAUUCUGAUAAAGUUGAUUAAUGUGAAAUUAGGACAGUAUAUUCUAUAUUCUAGGUGAGCUUUAAUUUGUUGUAUUGAGUCAUUUUAAAGUUGUUCCCAUUGUUUAGGGAAUUCUGAGAACAAUGGUCUAUGUCUUUGUCUCUUUGAACAUAGUUAAUACGUGAGCAUGUUUUGAUGUAGAUUGGUUAAUGAGUAAAAUGAUUUGUGUAAUGUUGAAUUUAAAACCCAUCUACUUAGACAUGAAGAUAAGCUAUAAACUUUCUAGAAUGAAUUUCUUGCAAUUAUCAAUGUAAGAUUAUAGUCAAUACUUAUUUAGGAUAUGUGAUCCUUGAGAGCUAAAUUCACAUGAAGCUUUGAUUAAUGAGACUGGCUCUUUGAGAUAAAAUAUCUUUGGACUAUAGCUGAUAUUAUUUGGAGUUUUGAAUUCAGGUAUGGUUAUCAUCAAGUCAGUA
RNAcentral lists this long non-coding RNA (1046 nucleotides) under Sarcophilus harrisii (Tasmanian devil). Its description in RNAcentral is "lncRNA (ENSSHAG00000024991.1)". Lineage: Eukaryota; Metazoa; Chordata; Mammalia; Dasyuromorphia; Dasyuridae. The record is from RNAcentral.